Long non-coding RNA from Dromiciops gliroides (monito del monte), 803 nucleotides. RefSeq lists it as uncharacterized. The transcript has 4 exons. The record is from RefSeq and is a predicted model, not a curated record. Lineage: Eukaryota; Metazoa; Chordata; Mammalia; Microbiotheria; Microbiotheriidae.
CUUGGCCAUUACAGGCACGUUGCCCUUCUCCCCACUUAGCAAAUUGUUAUGGGGACCUACUGGGAACCACUAGCUGUACCUCUUCCCUGCUUUCAGAGAUUUCAGCAGAAGUUUUAGAGAGAAGUCACAGCUAAUUCCUAUGCUUCAACUCAUCCACCCUGAAGGAAAAUGUGACACCCAAGGAGGGAUACAGUAUCUCAUUCAUUUAACAGAUUAAGAAACUUGAUCUGUGAAAUGACCAACCACCACUACAGAGGACUGAUGAGCAAGCCACCCACCUCCUGACAGAGAGAUCUUCAAGCUGCUUCAGGUGCUCCUUCCAGCUUCAAGAGAGAAGAUGAAGGAAAAGACUCAGGGAAGAAGUCAACAUGAGAGGAGCUGGUAGUCUCCAUCACAUCACUGUGCCCAGCUCACUGCACUAGAGACAGCAGAGAGUUUGCCUAGGUGAGAUCCAGGGCUCUUUCUCUCCUGGCUGAGCUGAUUUACCUCACUACCAAUGGGAGAGAUGCUUUACUUUGUAUUGUCCUCUAUAUAUUCUCCUAUGUAUACAUUCUCUGAUUUCUGUUCUACUACAACUUGGAUAAAUGGGUUCCUUUGCUAUUCACUAUGUGUGUUCACUGUGAAACCAGUAUUUGGUAGAAAGGGAGUCAAACCUUGGAGAUAAAGCCUGGGAUCCCCCUCUCCCCAAAUAAUAAUUGAAAGCAAUUAGAAGAUAGAUUGAAUUUGAUCAUAUCCCCUAGACUUAAAAUAUGGGUGCCUAGGUGGUACACUGGAUAGAGUGCCAGGCCUAAAGUCAGGAAGAC